AAAACAUUUGGACCGUCGGUCUACCGAGCAAUAUAACUUGCUUGGUGGAAGAUCUUCCUUUUUUCGU
Molecule: microRNA precursor, 67 nt
Filed under: Bombyx mori (domestic silkworm)
Lineage: Eukaryota; Metazoa; Arthropoda; Insecta; Lepidoptera; Bombycidae
Description: mir-2774 microRNA precursor family
Rfam family: mir-2774 microRNA precursor family
Source: Rfam by way of RNAcentral